RNAcentral lists this ribosomal RNA (253 nucleotides) under uncultured bacterium. RNAcentral describes it as "partial 16S ribosomal RNA". It matches the Rfam family "Bacterial small subunit ribosomal RNA", at positions 524 to 776 of the family's 1533-position model. The record is from RNAcentral.
UACAGAGGGGGCAAGCGUUGUUCGGAAUUACUGGGCGUAAAGGGCGCGUAGGCGGCCUGUUAAGUCGGACGUGAAAUCCCUCGGCUCAACCGGGGAACUGCGUCCGAUACUGACAGGCUUGAAUCCGGGAGAGGGAUGUGGAAUUCCAGGUGUAGCGGUGAAAUGCGUAGAUAUCUGGAGGAACAUCGGUGGCGAAGGCGGCAUCCUGGACCGGUAUUGACGCUGAGGCGCGAAAGCCAGGGGAGCAAACGGG